This 467-nucleotide ribosomal RNA is filed under the name uncultured archaeon. RNAcentral's name for it is "bacterial SSU rRNA". It matches the Rfam family "Archaeal small subunit ribosomal RNA", at positions 1 to 473 of the family's 1478-position model. The record is from RNAcentral.
UUCUGGUUGAUCCUGCCGGAGGUCACUGCUAUUGGGAUUCGCCUAAGCCAUGCGAGUCGAGAGGGUUCGGCCCUCGGCUGACGGCUCAGUAACACGUGGAUAAUCUGCCCUUAGGUGGAGGAUAACCUCGGGAAACUGAGAAUAAUACUCCAUAGGUCUAGGAUGCUGGAAUGCACUUAGGCUGAAAGCCCCGACGCCUAAGGAUGAGUCUGCGGACUAUCAGGUUGUAGUCAGGGUAAUGACCUGACUAGCCUACGACGGAUACGGGUUGUGAGAGCAAUAACCCGGAGAUGAUAUCUGAGACACGAUAUCAGGCCCUACGGGGCGCAGCAGGCGCGAAAACUUCACACUGUGCGAAAGCACGAUGAGGGAAUCCCAAGUGCUUGCUCGCAAGAGUAAGCUGUUUCUAUGUUUAAAAUGCAUAGAGAGUAAGGGCUGGGUAAGACGGGUGCCAGCCGCCGCGGUAA